UACGAGGGGGGCAAAUGUUGUUCGGAAUCACUGGGCGUAAAGGGCGCGUAGGCGGGUUCUUAAGUUAGGUGUUUAAUCCCGGGGCCCAACCCCGGACCGGCACUUAAAACUGGGAAUCUUGAAUAGUGGAGAGGUCGGUGGAAUUGGGGGUGUAGCGGUGGAAUGCGUAGAGAUCCCCAAGAACACCAGUUGCGAAGGCGGCCGACUGGACACAUAUUGACGCUGAGGCUCGAAAGCAUGGGGAGCAAACAGG
This 253-nucleotide ribosomal RNA is filed under the name uncultured bacterium. RNAcentral describes it as "partial 16S ribosomal RNA". It matches the Rfam family "Bacterial small subunit ribosomal RNA", at positions 524 to 776 of the family's 1533-position model. The record is from RNAcentral.